GUGCCAGCCGCCGCGGUAAAACGUAGGAGGCGAGCGUUAUCCGGAUUUACUGGGCGUAAAGCGCGUGCAGGCGGUACGGAAAGUUGGAUGUGAAAGCUCCCGGCUCAACUGGGAGAGGUCGUUCAAAACUACCGAACUAGAGUACAGUAGAGGGAAGUGGAAUUCCGGGUGUAGUGGUGAAAUGCGUAGAUAUCCGGAGGAACACCAGUGGCGAAAGCGGCUUCCUGGACUGAAACUGACGCUCAGACGCGAAAGCUAGGGUAGCAAACGGGAUUAGAUACCCGCGUAGUCC
This 292-nucleotide ribosomal RNA is filed under the name uncultured bacterium. RNAcentral's name for it is "partial 16S ribosomal RNA". It matches the Rfam family "Bacterial small subunit ribosomal RNA", at positions 505 to 796 of the family's 1533-position model. The record is from RNAcentral.